Molecule: ribosomal RNA, 493 nt
Filed under: Microbacterium esteraromaticum
Lineage: Bacteria; Bacillati; Actinomycetota; Actinomycetes; Micrococcales; Microbacteriaceae
Description: bacterial SSU rRNA
Rfam family: Bacterial small subunit ribosomal RNA
Source: RNAcentral
GGGCGGAAGCCUGAUGCAGCAACGCCGCGUGAGGGAUGACGGCCUUCGGGUUGUAAACCUCUUUUAGCAGGGAAGAAGCGAGAGUGACGGUACCUGCAGAAAAAGCGCCGGCUAACUACGUGCCAGCAGCCGCGGUAAUACGUAGGGCGCAAGCGUUAUCCGGAAUUAUUGGGCGUAAAGAGCUCGUAGGCGGUCUGUCGCGUCUGCUGUGAAAUCCCGAGGCUCAACCUCGGGCUUGCAGUGGGUACGGGCAGACUAGAGUGCGGUAGGGGAGAUUGGAAUUCCUGGUGUAGCGGUGGAAUGCGCAGAUAUCAGGAGGAACACCGAUGGCGAAGGCAGAUCUCUGGGCCGUAACUGACGCUGAGGAGCGAAAGGGUGGGGAGCAAACAGGCUUAGAUACCCUGGUAGUCCACCCCGUAAACGUUGGGAACUAGUUGUGGGGUCCUUUCCACGGAUUCCGUGACGCAGCUAACGCAUUAAGUUCCCCGCCUGG